This 1270-nucleotide long non-coding RNA is filed under the name Equus caballus (horse). Its description in RNAcentral is "lncRNA (ENSECAG00000051348.1)". The record is from RNAcentral. Lineage: Eukaryota; Metazoa; Chordata; Mammalia; Perissodactyla; Equidae.
CAAAAAAUAUUUUUAAAAAGCAGCUGAGUGAUGUCUGUUGUAUGAACUGGUCGUUAGAGUCGGGAGCCUCUCUACUGGGAGAGGCCCUGCAGGCGUUGCUGCAGACAAGGCGUGCCCCGCCCUCGGCCAGGCCUCUGCAGGGGAUGAGUGGGAGAUGCAGCUCACGCUGGCCACCCGAGCCAACCUUCUACCUCAGGCCAAAUAGGAAUCUUGGGACCAGUUUGCUCAGCCAAGCCUAGUGGGUAGCAUGGGCAAGAGGAUGAGAUGAACAGGAAGCAGAUGCUAAAGCGCUGGGCCCUUCAAGGAUGGCAAUUUUGAGGGUGUGGUGAACCUGCCCACCAGUGAUGGGUCCUAGGGAGCGCUUGGCCUGGCCAAUGAGAUCCUCUGCAUGGGAACGUCAGGGCCGCUGGGCGCUGGGUGGAACGAGGUGGCUUCCCCACACACGUGCUCAGCCUGUCUCACCUGAGGCCUGGGGCCACUGCAGGUCUCCGAGCGCAUCGUCGUCUGCUCUGCGCUCUCCUCGCUGAACUCCGAGCUGCCGUGUGCGGGGAGACCCCUGGACUCUGCGGGCGCCCCCUGCACCGCGGCCCAAUGCCGCCGUCUCCUGGCCUUUGCCAGGAAAGCCGCUGUCUCAAGAGUAUCAAGGAGCGGAGGCUUCCCAGACCUCAACUCCUUGAUUCCCGACGCUCGAACCCGCCUCAAACAAGAAGACGAGACAACGGCAAAGGACGCCCACCUGCCAUCCUCCUAUCUCACCCUCCCCCCGCCUUGCUGCAAGCAGCCUCUCAAGGCCAAAUGCAGGCUGGUGGGAAAGCACAGAGCUGCACAAGCUACAUGUUCCCCCCUCCCCUACCCAAAACCCCAAAUAAAAAUCCCUGUCCAUUCCUCAUCGGGGAGCUAACAAUUUUUGAGGCAUGAGCCCUUGCUUUGCUCCCUGUGCCUGGCAUAGUAAAAACCUUUCCUCUUCCACUCAAGACUCUGUUCUCGUUAUUUGGAUUGGCGUCGGGUUCAGAGACCGAACUUUCCGUUACAGUUACUGCACAUAUUUUGUCCUGUGUUUUGGCUGUUUCAGGUAUGGGUGGGCGGGGGUAGAAAUCUGAGCCCUGUUGCUCUGACUUGCCCAGAGGUGUUAAACGUGCUUCUCUCUGGUUCCCAGUGAGUGCGAGCAUCUCCGUGAUUUGCUAACCUGAAGCUUCCCAUUGUGUGAACUGCCUGCCCUUCUUCCUAUGAUGUUUUGGGUCCUUUUUCUUAUUUAUUUGUAGGAGUUCUU